GGUAAUUGAAGGGCCGCGGUAUAUUGACCGUGCAAAGGUAGCAUAAUCAUUAGUCUUUUAAUUGGAGGCUUGUAUGAAUGGUUGAACAAAGAAAUUACUGUCUCUUUUUAAGAAAUUGAAUUUAACUUUAAAGUGAAAAGGCUUUAAUAUAUUAGGGGGACGAUAAGACCCUAUAAAGCGUUUUGUUGGGGUGACGGGAGUAUAAUUUAUAACUGCUUCAAAAUUUAAAUACAUUAAUAUAUGAAUUGAUCCUUUAUAAAGAUUAAUAGAAAAAGUUACUUUAGGGAUAACAGCGUUAUUUUUCUUGAGAGUUCUUAUUGAAAGAAAAGAUUGCGACCUCGAUGUUGAAUUAAAAUUUCUUUAUAAUGCAGCAGUUAUAAAAGAGGGUCUGUUCGACCUUUAAAUUUUU
Molecule: ribosomal RNA, 409 nt
Filed under: Metadynomene tanensis
Lineage: Eukaryota; Metazoa; Arthropoda; Malacostraca; Decapoda; Dynomenidae
Description: partial 16S large subunit ribosomal RNA
Rfam family: Archaeal large subunit ribosomal RNA
Source: RNAcentral